GAUGAAGAACGCAGCGAAAUGCGAUAAGUAAUGUGAAUUGCAGAAUUUAGUGAAUCAUCGAAUCUUUGAACGCACAUUGCGCCCGUCAGUAUUCUGGCGGGCAUGCCUGUUCGAGCGUCAUUACGCCCCUCAAGUCCCCUGUGGACUUGGUGUUGGGGAUCGGCGAGGCUGGUUUUCCAGCACAGCCGUCCCUUAAAUUAAUUGGCGGUCUCGCCGUGGCCCUCCUCUGCGCAGUAGUAAAACACUCGCAACAGGAGCCCGGCGCGGUCCACUGCCGUAAAACCCCCCAACUUUUUAUAGUUGACCUCGAAUCAGGUAGGACUACCCGCUGAACUUAAGCAUAUCAAUAAGCGGAGGA
This 358-nucleotide unclassified non-coding RNA is filed under the name soil metagenome. RNAcentral describes it as "partial contains 5.8S ribosomal RNA, internal transcribed spacer 2, and large subunit ribosomal RNA". The stretch from base 1 to 120 matches the Rfam family "5.8S ribosomal RNA", at positions 35 to 154 of the family's 154-position model. The record is from RNAcentral.